Erinaceus europaeus (western European hedgehog) is the source of this 125-nucleotide small nucleolar RNA. NCBI's taxonomy places the organism in Eukaryota, Metazoa, Chordata, Mammalia, Eulipotyphla, Erinaceidae. The record is from Ensembl.
UGAGCGGCUGUUACACAAGUUGGGCUAAAGUACUCCUCUGUCACUCACUACACCUCCCUAGAACAAACUGCCCUUUGAUGAUGAAUUGAGAGAAGUUGUAAUGGACAGAUACAGGGUAGACAGUU